This 725-nucleotide ribosomal RNA is filed under the name Pseudoalteromonas sp. V4.ME.26. Its description in RNAcentral is "bacterial SSU rRNA". It matches the Rfam family "Bacterial small subunit ribosomal RNA", at positions 348 to 1066 of the family's 1533-position model. Lineage: Bacteria; Pseudomonadati; Pseudomonadota; Gammaproteobacteria; Alteromonadales; Pseudoalteromonadaceae. The record is from RNAcentral.
GCAGCAGUGGGGAAUAUUGCACAAUGGGCGCAAGCCUGAUGCAGCCAUGCCGCGUGUGUGAAGAAGGCCUUCGGGUUGUAAAGCACUUUCACUCAGGAGGAAAGGUUAGUAGUUAAUACCUGCUAGCUGUGACGUUACUGACAGAAGAAGCACCGGCUAACUCCGUGCCAGCAGCCGCGGUAAUACGGAGGGUGCGAGCGUUAAUCGGAAUUACUGGGCGUAAAGCGUACGCAGGCGGUUUGUUAAGCGAGAUGUGAAAGCCCCGGGCUCAACCUGGGAACUGCAUUUCGAACUGGCAAACUAGAGUGUGAUAGAGGGUGGUAGAAUUUCAGGUGUAGCGGUGAAAUGCGUAGAGAUCUGAAGGAAUACCGAUGGCGAAGGCAGCCACCUGGGUCAACACUGACGCUCAUGUACGAAAGCGUGGGGAGCAAACAGGAUUAGAUACCCUGGUAGUCCACGCCGUAAACGAUGUCUACUAGAAGCUCGGAGCCUCGGCUCUGUUUUUCAAAGCUAACGCAUUAAGUAGACCGCCUGGGGAGUACGGCCGCAAGGUUAAAACUCAAAUGAAUUGACGGGGGCCCGCACAAGCGGUGGAGCAUGUGGUUUAAUUCGAUGCAACGCGAAGAACCUUACCUACACUUGACAUACAGAGAACUUACCAGAGAUGGUUUGGUGCCUUCGGGAACUCUGAUACAGGUGCUGCAUGGCUGUCGUCAGCUCGUGUU